GGACCAUGUUUGGGAACAUUCAUCUCGUCUGCAUGAAAGCACUGGCAUCAUCUAGUGGUUGUUUUUAACGAUUCAGACGAUUAUCCAGUGUGCCGCUAGAUGAUGUUGGUAUUGUUUUUUAAAAUGGCGAAAUGUGUUAAAAGUUAUGUCAUCUUCUGUAUUCGAAUUUUCAAUGUUUUACUGCCCAAAAUCAAACAAUUAUUUACAUACAAUGUACCUGCCGUCUAGUCAUCAGAUUAAAUGUGGACCCCAUUUAAAGAAAAAAUUGAUCAGCACUUCCUAAACUCACAGCUUCAUCUGCAUCAUCCUCUCACAUCGUAGACAAAACUUCAAGCUGUUUUGCCCAAUAGUUGUGGCAUUGGACCUAUGGUUACAGGUUUGUUCUUGCCUGAAAGAUGUUUACACCUUUGAACACUUGACGGUGUUGUUGCGUCAUGAAAUUGUAUUGCUGCCAUUCCCUGUAUCUCCCACUUCACAGAGCUCUGCAAGAAAUGAGUAAUAGGAAGCCUACAACAGAUUGAGGAAUUAAACAAUUAAUAGGUUCCGUGAUAUGCCAUUGGAUUUCGCGAGUAGCCGCCAAUGUCAAACUACAACGCAGUUUCUUUAUUGGAAUUGUGUGGUCCUGGCACAGAAAUCCUUGAUGCUGGCCUUUGUUCAUAACAGAAGAGUGACUUCUACCACUUUUCUGCUCCAUCCUAAUCUUCGCUACCCACACUCAUCUAGCUUCUCUGCAUAUUAUGCUGCUAAACAAUUUGCCGUACUUCACUGACGAGUUAGACUAGUCGCUUCCGUCCGCAGCGACACAUGUACUGUCACUUACCACGGGAUUAUGCCCAGAUACGGAGAUUGGUGAUACUCAAACUCAACCUUAACUUCAAGUGUCAAGUGUCAAGAUUGGAGUUGUUUAGAUUGGAGUGCAAUUAAAGCUAACCCGGCUAAACAUUGAACAGAGAAUGCAGUUUAAUAUAAGCUACUAAGCAACCAUAAUCAGACAAGGAUUUAACACCAAAAGAAAGUGUGGUGUUUCUUUUGGGACUUUCAAUAAGGAUGGAGUCGGUACAAUUGUAUAAUUAAGGAAUAAUUUGGGCAAUGGCGCAAUGCUAUUCUUUUUUGACACAGCACAGAAUUUACAACACUUCAACCAAUUUUGACAUCUUCGAGGCAGAGGGCUAGAUGCCCACCCCAUUGGCAUUUCCAUAUCUCUGACAUUGUUUGAAAACUUCGUAGGCUGAUUACUUUGCAGUAAUUAUCAUUGGGCACUUCACAAAGUGUUCACAUUUACUUCAUUGACAACUUUUUUUAGGCCUGCCCCUGUACCUACACUGACUUUGCAGAGAUUUGGAUAGAUGUGUUGCUGUUUCAGAGGUUUUCUGUUAAUUCAAACAUAUUUUUAAUAUAUUUUCCUUCAUAAAUAGUAAAAGUUUUUGAAAACUGAUAUUGUAUCCAAAUUCUUAUCCAUAUCCAUGUAAUUGUGUUUGAUUUUACGGUGGGGUUCGAUUAGAUAGUGAAUAAUAAAUAACAUAAAGAUUAA
This 1531-nucleotide long non-coding RNA is filed under the name Daphnia pulex (common water flea). Its description in RNAcentral is "uncharacterized LOC124201069, transcript variant X1". Lineage: Eukaryota; Metazoa; Arthropoda; Branchiopoda; Diplostraca; Daphniidae. The record is from RNAcentral.